GAUGAACGCUAGCUACAGGCUUAACACAUGCAUGUCGAGGGGUAACGAGGAGAGAGCUUGCUUUUUCCGUCGACGACCGGCGCACGGGUGAGUAACGCGUAUCCAACCUACCUUCAGCUAAGGAACAGCCCGUCGAAAGGCGGAUUAAUACCUUAUGUUGUUUCAUGAUGCCAUCAGAAAGAAACGAAAGAUUUAUCGGCGGAGGAUGGGGAUGCGUCUGAUUAGAUUGUUGGCGGGGCAACGGCCCACCAAGUCAUCGAUCAGGAGGGGUUCUGAGAGGAAGGUCCCCCACAUUGGAACUGAGACACGGUCCAAACUCCUACGGGAGGCAGCAGUGAGGAAUAUUGGUCAAUGGGCGAGAGCCUGAACCAGCCAAGUAGCGUGCAGGAUGACGGCCCUAUGGGUUGUAAACUGCUUUUACACGGGGAUAAAGUGGUCGACGUGUCGUCCAUUGCAGGUACCGUGCGAAUAAGGACCGGCUAAUUCCGUGCCAGCCGCCGCAGUAA
Molecule: ribosomal RNA, 506 nt
Filed under: uncultured bacterium
Lineage: Bacteria
Description: partial 16S ribosomal RNA
Rfam family: Bacterial small subunit ribosomal RNA
Source: RNAcentral